This 478-nucleotide ribosomal RNA is filed under the name uncultured bacterium. RNAcentral describes it as "partial 16S ribosomal RNA". It matches the Rfam family "Bacterial small subunit ribosomal RNA", at positions 28 to 507 of the family's 1533-position model. The record is from RNAcentral.
GAUGAACGCUGGCGGCGUGCUUAACACAUGCAAGUCGAACGGAAAAUAUUUCAUUGUGACUUCUGUGGGUUUGGUUUAUUUCUAGUGGCGAACGGGGUAGUAACGCGUUGAUAUCCUGCCUUAUACAGGGGAAUAACAGUCAGAAAUGGCAGGUAAUACCGCAUAAGGGCACAGAGCGGCAUGGCUCGGUGUGAAGAGAUCCGGUGGUAUAAGAUGGACCCGCGUUGGAUUAGCUAGUUGGCGGGGUAACGGCCCACCAAGGCGACGAUGCGGAGCCGGGCUGGGAGGGGGAACGGUCACAAUGGGACUGAGACACGGCCCAGAAUCCGACGGGAGGGAGCAGUGGGGAACAUUGCACAAUGGGGCAAAAUCUGAUGCAGCGACGUCGCGUGAAGGAAGAAGUAGCUCGGUAUGUAAAUUCCUAUCAGAAGGGAAGAGAGUGACGGUACCUGACUAAGAAGCCCCGGCUAACUACGUG